AGAAUCAACGCUGGCGGCGUGCCUAACACAUGCAAGUCGCACGAGAAAGUGGAGCAAUCCAUGAGUAAAGUGGCGCACGGGUGAGUAACACGUGAAUUAUCUACCUCCGAGUGGGGAAUAACUGAGAGAAAUCUUAGCUAAUACCGCAUAACACUUACGAGUCAAAGCAGCAAUGCGCUUGGAGAGGAGUUCGCGGCCGAUUAGUUAGUUGGCGGGGUAAUGGCCCACCAAGACGAUGAUCGGUAUCCGGCCUGAGAGGGCGCACGGACACACUGGAACUGAAACACGGUCCAGACUCCUACGGGAGGCAGCAGUGGGGAAUUUUGCGCAAUGGGGGAAACCCUGACGCAGCAACGCCGCGUGGAGGAUGAAAUCCCUUGGGAUGUAAACUCCUUUCGAUAGGGAAGAUAAUGACGGUACCUAUAGAAGAAGCCCGGCUAACUUCGUGCCAGCAGCCGC
Molecule: ribosomal RNA, 459 nt
Filed under: uncultured bacterium
Lineage: Bacteria
Description: SSU rRNA
Rfam family: Bacterial small subunit ribosomal RNA
Source: RNAcentral